GAUACCCUAUUAUUAAAAAUGUAAUUUAUUCAGCUUAGAAUAUUAGUAGUUAUGAUCUUUAAAAUUAAAAAAUUUGGCGGUAUUUUAGUCUGUUCAGAGGAACCUGUUUUUUAAUCGAUAAUCCACGAUAAUUUUAACUUUAGUUUUAAAUUUAUAUAUCGUCGUUUAUAAAAAUUUUAGGAGGAUAAAUAAUUUUUGGGAUUUUUAAUUAAAAUAUAAUUCAGAUCAAGGUGUAGUUUAUAUUAAAGGUAAAAUGGGUUACAUUAUAUUUAUAUGUGGUUUUUAGUUUUUGAAAUUAAGAUAAAUUGGAUUUGAGAGUAAAAUUUUUAUUUUUGGAAUUUGAUUUAGCUCUAAAAUAUGCACACAUCGCC
Molecule: ribosomal RNA, 371 nt
Filed under: Accanthopus velikensis
Lineage: Eukaryota; Metazoa; Arthropoda; Insecta; Coleoptera; Tenebrionidae
Description: partial 12S ribosomal RNA
Source: RNAcentral